AUGGAUACGGCCAGAACCAUCACACUGACUGAUAUGCUUCAUCUGGGCUGCAGUCUAAUGUGUAGUUGUUGCGCAUUGCAGUUCAUGUUCCCGGUGCUGUUCAUAGAUUGCUGGUCCCUGUACAGUCUUGACAUAGACAAGAAGGAAGUUAUGGCGCUCAAUCCAACUGAGACAGAUCCAGCAGAUGAGAUGAAGAGGAGGAAUGAGGCUUUGGCGAAGGAAUUCCAGCUCAGAUUCUGCCACCGUUUUAACGACAUGUUUGGUGCAGGCUUGGUCGAGACUAUUGGGCGGACCUUUAUGUACCCCUUAGUGGGGCAGCAUGAACCAUGUACAAGGAGCAGCUAG
Molecule: ribosomal RNA, 345 nt
Filed under: Triticum aestivum (bread wheat)
Lineage: Eukaryota; Viridiplantae; Streptophyta; Magnoliopsida; Poales; Poaceae
Description: partial small subunit ribosomal RNA
Source: RNAcentral